GAGGCUCGAAGGCGAUCAGAUACCGCCCUAGUUCUAACCAUAAACGAUGCCAGCCAGCGAUCCGGCUGUGUUCCUCAAAUGACACGCCGGGCAGCUUCCGGGAAACCAAAGCUUUUGGGUUCCGGGGGAAGUAUGGUUGCAAAGCUUAAACUUAAAGGAAUUGACGGAAGGGCACCACAAGCCAUGGAGCAUGCGGUUCAAUUUGACUCAACACGGGAAAUCUUAUCCGGCCCGGACACAGGAAGGAUUGACAGAUUAAGAGCUCUUUCUUGAUUCUGUGAGUGGUGGUGCAUGGCCGUUCUUAGUUGGUGGAGUGAUUUGUCUGCUUAAUUGCGAUAACGAACGAGACUCUAGCCUACUAAAUAGGCGUUCCGAUCCUCUUAGUCGGACGCUCUUCUUAGGGGGACAGGCGGCGACUAGCCGCACGAGACAGAGCAAUAACAGGUCUGUGAUGCCCUCAGAUGUUCGGGGCCACACGCGCGCUACAUUGAAGGAAUCAGCGUGUGCUUUCCCUGUCCGACAGGACUGGGUAACCCGUUGAACCUCCUUCGUGCUGGGGAUAGGGGCUUGCAAUUCUUCCCCUUGAACGAGGAAUGCCUAGUAAGCACGAGUCAUCAAUUCGUGUUGAUUAGGUCCCUGCCCUUUGUACACACCGCCCGUCGCUAUAAGCGAUUGAAUGGUUUAGUGAGGUCUUCGGACUGGCGCUCGAAUUGGCCUUCCGGUCGAGUCGACGUGCCGGAAAGAUGACCAAACUUGAUCAUUUAGAGCAUAUAAAAGUCGU
RNAcentral lists this ribosomal RNA (781 nucleotides) under Carpathonesticus simoni. RNAcentral describes it as "SSU rRNA". It matches the Rfam family "Eukaryotic small subunit ribosomal RNA", at positions 993 to 1792 of the family's 1831-position model. RNAcentral also lists the same sequence under 1 other name. Lineage: Eukaryota; Metazoa; Arthropoda; Arachnida; Araneae; Nesticidae. The record is from RNAcentral.